This 491-nucleotide ribosomal RNA is filed under the name uncultured bacterium. Its description in RNAcentral is "bacterial SSU rRNA". It matches the Rfam family "Bacterial small subunit ribosomal RNA", at positions 29 to 513 of the family's 1533-position model. The record is from RNAcentral.
AACGAACGCUGGCGGCGCGCCUAAUACAUGCAAGUCGAGCGAGAAAGUGUAGCAAUACACUUGUAAAGCGGCGAACGGGUGAGGAAUACAUGGGUAAUCUACCAUCGAGUGGGGAAUAACCAGCCGAAAGGUUGGCUAAUACCGCGUACGCUUCCGAGUCUUCGGGCUUGGAAGGAAAGCCGCACUGUGAGUGCGGCGCUCUUUGAUGAGCUCAUGUCCUAUCAGCUUGUUGGUAGGGUAACGGCCUACCAAGGCUUUGACGGGUAGCUGGUCUGAGAGGACGAUCAGCCACACUGGCACUGCGACACGGGCCAGACUCCUACGGGAGGCAGCAGUAAGGAAUAUUGCGCAAUGGGCGAAAGCCUGACGCAGCGACGCCGCGUGGGGGAUGAAGGUCUUCGGAUUGUAAACCCCUUUCGGGAGGGAAGAUGGAGCGAGCAAUCGUUCGGACGGUACCUCCAGAAGCAGCCACGGCCAACUUCGUGCCAGCA